GAACAACUCCUGACAGGUUCUGAUAGGUCACUUUCAUAUCAGAAGAACAUGGGUCAUUCCCUAUUCACAAAAUUGGAAAUUAGGAAACACUGAAAAAGUUAAAACAUUGACAGCCCACCAUCGAUGGUCAAAAAACAUCGUCACAGUAACAACGAUGUUAAAAACAUCGAACAGCGGUCACCUACCAUCGAUGUUUUUUAAACAUCGACCAUCGAUGCUCAUCCGUAGUGCGAACAAGCCAUUCGACGCCAUUUAGUACCUCGAUGGUCUGCAGCUUAAAAUUUGGAUCAGUAGAAACGAGUCUUGACAUUGCUUUAAAGAAUUGCCAGAAAGAAGAAGAUCACAGCGGUGCAAUGACGUAAGAGUAGUGACCUGGUAUUAAUCCAUCGAUAAUAGACAAAUUCCAUGGAAAAUUAAAGUCUUCGGCUCAUGAAAGGACAAACGCAAAAUAACGCAGAACUACUAAACCUAGCCGGACUGGUGAGUGGACAUUGCAAACUCCAAAGUUACAAGACACGCUUUAAAAAAAUUAAUACCGCUAUGUGAAGAAGAAAGAAGAAUGGAAAUUUUUUUCGGGUCUAAACACGAGUUAUACUUAACAGGUUGCGCAUAGGUCAUGCCAAGACACAUAAUGGAGGUGAAACCUUGUAGGUGCCCGUUCUAUGGGGAACUUAUCACGGUAGGGAACAUAAUGGCAGAUGUAAAGAAAAGUCUGCGAUGAAAGAAAUAUGCGCGGGACCGCAGCAGGCACAUGUCGGUGAUCCGAUAUCUCAGGGACGUAAAUAUUUGUAAUUGCA
This 797-nucleotide long non-coding RNA is filed under the name Cimex lectularius (bed bug). Its description in RNAcentral is "uncharacterized LOC106674032, transcript variant X1". The record is from RNAcentral. Lineage: Eukaryota; Metazoa; Arthropoda; Insecta; Hemiptera; Cimicidae.